RNAcentral lists this ribosomal RNA (492 nucleotides) under uncultured bacterium. RNAcentral describes it as "partial 16S ribosomal RNA". It matches the Rfam family "Bacterial small subunit ribosomal RNA", at positions 29 to 507 of the family's 1533-position model. The record is from RNAcentral.
AGUGAACGCUGGCGGUAGGCCUAACACAUGCAAGUCGAACGGCAGCACAGUAAGAGCUUGCUCUUACGGGUGGCGAGUGGCGGACGGGUGAGGAAUACAUCGGAAUCUACUUUUUCGUGGGGGAUAACGUAGGGAAACUUACGCUAAUACCGCAUACGACCUACGGGUGAAAGCAGGGGAUCUUCGGACCUUGCGCGAUUGAAUGAGCCGAUGUCGGAUUAGCUAGUUGGCGGGGUAAAGGCCCACCAAGGCGACGAUCCGUAGCUGGCCUGAGAGGAUGACCGCCCACCCUGGAGCGGAGACACGGCCCCGACCCUUACGGGAGGCAGCAGUGGGGAAUUUUGCACAAUGGGCGAAAGCCUGACCGCCCCAUGCCGCGUGAGUGAAGAGGGCCUUCGGUUGGUAAAGCUUUUUUGUGGGGAAAGAAAAGAAGCGGUUUAACCCCCCCCUGUCCUGACGGUCCCCAAGAAAAAAGCCCCGGCUAACUUCGUC